Molecule: long non-coding RNA, 2787 nt
Organism: Nerophis ophidion (straightnose pipefish)
Lineage: Eukaryota; Metazoa; Chordata; Actinopteri; Syngnathiformes; Syngnathidae
Exons: 8
Source: RefSeq, a predicted model, not a curated record
UGUGUGUGUGUGUGUGUGUGUGUGUGUGUGUGUGUGUGUGUGUGUGUGUGUGUGUGUGUGUGUGUGUGUGUGUGCGUUUGUCAAAGUGACAUAUGGGGACAUUUUUAUGAAAUUUCACCUUACAUAUGAGGACCUGUUGAAAUAUGGGGACAUUUUCCAUGUCCCCAUAUUUCCCGCAAUGCUAUCGUGUUCUAGACCCUCCCAGCAUGUUCCCAGACCAAAAAUCUCUGAAGUCUUCAUUUGUCAAAUUUUCAGAAAAAGUGUGUGAAAGUGUGUUUAAUUUUUUUGCUCACCUUCGAUUUUGCCCCUAGUGGCCAUCUUUGCUAUUAUGACACACACACACACACACUUGUCCUCAUAUGUCAUAUGUCCUCAUAUGUCAUGUGGGUCAGAAACUCACACACUACUACAUUUUGAAAAACCUCUAAUCAUUACAGCAAUAAACAUACUUUUGAAAUCUAAAUCAAAUAACACAUUUUCAACUGAUCUGAUGAUCCCAACCUUUUUUAUGUUAGUUUUAUCUAUUCAUUUGGUUUAUCUGGAGAGGAUUUGGGCUAGACAAUUAGUAAUAAAGGGAUUAUGGUGAUGAUUUAAUCGGUUUGAUUCAGUAUUUUACUGUAUUGGGCUUUUUGCUAUUAUGUUGACUAAAAUACAAUGCCGCACAAUAAUUAAUUUAAAUGUGCCUGAAAUGUAGGUUUUUGCAUAAAUGCCUCCCCCCCCCCCCACUCCACCCCCUCCCAAAAAAAAACAAAAAAACAACCCUCAACUUUGAUUGAGACUAAGGCAAUAAUUCAAAUGCAAUUCAAACUACACACAGUAUUUAAUAUUUUCAAAUGGUUACAAUAGCACAUGAUUUUGGUAUUUUUAUCUUUGGGACAAAUUUUGGAUUCAAUUGGCGAUUGUUUUUGGAGGUAUUCAUUUUACAUGGUGUUCAAGAUGGUUACUUCCGCCUACUCUGAAAAGUCUCGGCGUCUGAUUGGUCCAAUUUUCAGUUAGGCGCUGCCUGAUUGGCCGGUGGAUGAUGUCGGAUCCUAACAGAGGGCUAAAUCACUAGUUUAUUAUUUUCCUCAUGGAAGUUAUACAGUUCACGUAUCACACUUAAUAUUGAAUAUAUAUAAAAAGGGUUUUCCAAAAGGACCACUUAUAAGCGAAAUACAAAACUUCACACACGAUUUUGAGCACAACAGGGCGCUCAGUGAACAGCACUUCCGGGACGUGCAUCACCAGAGGGGGACAUCUAUCUUGGCCACAAACCAUCUUUGACAGUCUUCGACAGCAUGGUUGAAUCAGGCGCAUCAACACAUGAUGUAGACAUCGUGUCCAAAAGAAGAGCAAGACGUAAUCCUGAGGCUGAAGCCACCGAGUUUAUGUGAUCUGGAUGUGACAAGUCUUGUUUUAAGGCCCAGUGGAUCAAUGAUUGGAAAGACACCAACUGUUGAUGUUCUAUCUCAACAUUCUCCAGAUUCAUGUGAGCGAUAAACCGACUUCAUCCCUCCAACAGACACCAACUGUUGGGGUUCUAUCUCAACAUUCUCCAGAUUCAGAUGUGAGCGAUAAACCGACUUCAUCCCUCCAACAGAAACCAACUGUUGAGGUUCCAUCUCAACAUUCUCCAGAUUCAGAUGUGAGCCAUUAACUGACUUCAUCCCUCCAACAGAAACCAACUGUUGAGGUUCUAUCUCAAAAUUCUCUAGAUUCAGAUGACAGCCAUAAACCGACUUCAUCCCUCCAACAGAUUGACAGCAGGACAAAUCGCUGGAAGUAGGUAUGUCUCAAGCUUCUUCCACUUGGUCCACUCCAAAGCGGGCUGCAAAGGGGAAGAAGUGGAAGCAGUUGAAUGACACAUGUUGCAUUUUGUAACUGGCAACAAAGUACCAGGUAAAAAAGAUUGUAAAGCCUGCCUCCAUAAAGAACUAGUAGCUCUACAGGACAGAGAUUGGCUUGCCAUCAAGUACUACAUCCAUAACAGAAUUAUAUUAAAAAAAGGGAAAACAAAUGUUUUCCCACAUCUUCUGUGGUAGUUUGAGUAUGUUACCAGCAAUUAAAAAAGCAAAAUAAACAGCAAGCGUUUUGUAUUUAUUCCAGAUAAUUCUUAGCGACAAAAUCCACAAAAACAAUUCAGUUACACUUAGUCGACAAUUACAUUUUUACCCAUGUUUCUUUUAAACUCUUCUUGGUUUUAGAUUACAGUAGCAAGGGAUUGGGAUUUUUUUUUAAAAUGACAACACAUCAACUAAACCAACUCAGGUGGUUUUGUUAAGUCUCUGAUGUCAUUAGCCUCAUAUGUCACAUGAACCUGAAAUCUUUAACACUCUGUGAUGUCAUGGUUGUCAUAUUUCACAAACUUGAAAUCUUAAACACUCUGUGACGUCAUGGUCAUCAUAUGUCACAUAAACUUGAAAUCUUAAACACUCUGUGACGUCAUGGUCAUCAUAUGUCACAUGAACCUGAAAUCUUAAACACUCUGUGACGUCAUGGUCAUCAUAUGUCACAUGAACCUGAAAUCUUAAACACUCUGUGACGUCAUGGUCGUCAUAUGUCACAUAAACUUGAAAUCUUAAACACUCUGGUCUUCAUUUGUCACCUAAACCUGACAAGUCCUCAUAUGUACCAUAAAAAUCAGGUUCAGAAAAAAACAAAAGAGUUGCAAAAAUCUCAAUAGACCACUGUGUUUCUAAAAUUCUGGUUCACUAACCGUCUGAUUCCCAGGCCUGUAGGACCAUUGGAAAGGCAUGUCCCCAUAUGUCACGUUUUUGUCAUAAGUCCUCAUAUGUCACCCAAACACGU